GUGCCUUCGCUGAAACCGGCCUCUGCCAUCCAGUGGCCAGCAUGACAAGGUGAGGCUCUAACGCUACCACUCUCUGCAUCCUGUUCUAGGCUUUCUUGGCUUUGCCUGCCCAGUCGUUUCAUGCCAGGAGCAGGAGCUGCCUGCUGGAGGCUGGAGCUUGUGGCACCACCGCUCGCCUCGCUGUGGUUGGUGGCGGCCAUGGAGACUAAAGACUCAGCGCUGGAGUGGUAGGAGGGCGGCAAUGAAGACUGAAGAGCACCUGAGCGAAAACCCUUUUGCUGUGCCUCAGGAUGGGGGAGAUGAGAUCUGAAAUACCCAGUGCAGCCUCCGAGAAGAACAACUUCUACAGAGAUGCCAGGGACAGCCAAGGUGGUAGAGAAGGAAAUGCUGCCUGUGCCCAAAGCCCCCUUCUGCGGACUUCUAAGAUUACGAGCAAACUCAGGGGUAGGGGCUGGGGGUGCAGGGGAGGAGAUUCUGAGCCACCUGUCCACAAGUGAUAGUCCUGUUUUGGGCUGGUGGCUUCUGAGAGGUGACUUAUUGUGGCCUCAGGAUGACCAAGACAAAGCAACUCUGGCUGAUUCCAGCCAGGAGAAUUGAGGCCUGUGAGUUAUACCCGUGGUUGAAAACCGAAGCUUCCCUUGCCCCUGCUCCCUCCAAUAGCGGCCCCUUGGGGCUAUUUGUGUCAGAAUAUUGAAUGUGCGUGUGUGUGUGUGUGCGCGCGCGUGUGAUUUGGGGUGUUCUUCUUGUUUGGUUGGUUGGUUUUUACUGGGGCUUCACCCCUCAAGUUCUCUGAUGGGUGCGGGUUACCUUCUGGCUGGGGGUUCUCAUCUGUGUCAAUGUCCAGGCUGCAAGCUUCUUGCUAAGCACAGGGUACAGCCCCUCUGUGUCUCAGGGAGCACUGGGGAUUUGAAAAUGCCAGUCAGGGUUGGUUCUUACAGAAUUCGUUCCUGUAACAAAAAUACUCAGGGACGCAUCUCAGGCUGACCACAGGGCAGGUACCAAGUUAAGUGUUUUCAUGCACUCUCUCUCACCACAUGGGAGGCAGGUAUGAUUAACCCCCUGCAGAAAAAGCUGCAGAAAAAGCUCACAGUGGGGAAGGGGUGCCCAGGGCCACAUGGCCAGGAGGAGACCAACCCCUCGUUUGACCUCAGGGGUGCAGGAACCCAAAGUCCAGGCUCCAACUCCCUGGACAUGACGUGCUCCCCAGCCAGGACACACCCUGCACAAUGCCAGGAGCAUCUCCUUGAUGCCUCCACAGGCUGUCGCCCUGAGUUCUCCACCAUCACCGCCCAGAGCGCUGAUCCACUCAGCACAUUCUGGCUAAGCACCUGCUGUGUGCCAGGCCCCAUGCUGGGCAGUGAUGGGGACAAAAGAUGAGUCAGACCUCAUCUCUGCCCCUGGGGAGCCUCCCAUCUGGUAGGGGCGACAGACACAUGGAUCUUUGCUGGGCAGGGUAACGAGGCUAUGGAAACCCAGAGAGGAGGGUUCUAGAAAUCCACCCACUUUCAAGUGGGACUUCCACAUAAGCCUAGAUGCCCGUAACAUCCACCCACAGAGCUAAUCACCUCCACUCCUGCCCCGGGGCACCUAUGAGAUGGCAUCACCUAAAUGAUCACAAACAUCUCCAAAGGCCACACUGCCAGUGUAGACACACUCAUUCCAUGGGUGUUAGUGAUACCAAAUCUCCCCCAGUGCUCAGGAGGCCCUGCUUAAUAAAUAUAUGUGUCCUCUGACCCAGUUUCCUCAUUCAUCAGAUCUAGUGUUCUCACACUGACUGCCCAUCCAUUCACCAGACACAACAGUGAGCAAGGCAGGUCCCUGCUCACUGUGCUGGCUUUCUAGCUAGGGCGGGAAUACAGUGAAGGUGGCAAGGGCGGCGAGUGUUCUGCCGGGAACUCAGUUUGAGGGACAAGUGAGUGAGACCCUUGUGGACCUGGGGUGGUCUGGGAAGGCCUUAUUGAGCAGAUGAUUGAAGGCCAGAUUUGAAUGACACACAGGAGCUAGUAAUAGGUGUUAAAGAUAGGAAAAGAGCAUUCCAGGAAGAAGGAACAGCUAGUGCAAAGGCCCUGUGGCAGCCACAGGCUGGUUGGUUUCAAGGAAGCAUAAGAAAGCCAGGUGGCUGGGACCCAGAGGGAAGGCAGGAGAUGAGGGCAAGAGUGCCCAGCCCUGGGCUCCACUGUGAAUCACACUGUGCAAACACAAUGCCCUGCCUUUGGAAAAGCAGAACAAACUUGCUAGGGC
Molecule: long non-coding RNA, 2241 nt
Filed under: Pan troglodytes (chimpanzee)
Lineage: Eukaryota; Metazoa; Chordata; Mammalia; Primates; Hominidae
Description: long non-coding RNA NONPTRT009760
Source: RNAcentral